UACGAAGGGUGCAAACGUUGCUCGGAAUGACUGGGCGGAAAGGGCGCGUAGGCGGCUCAUACAGUCAGAUGUGAAAUUCCUGGGCUUAACCUGGGAGCUGCAUUUGAUACGUGUGGGCUUGAGUGGGGAAGAGGGUCGUGGAAUUCCCAGUGUAGAGGUGAAAUUCGUAGAUAUUGGGAAGAACACCGGUGGCGAAGGCGGCGACCUGGUCCUUGACUGACGCUGAGGCGCGAAAGCGUGGGGAGCAAACAGG
RNAcentral lists this ribosomal RNA (253 nucleotides) under uncultured bacterium. RNAcentral describes it as "partial 16S ribosomal RNA". It matches the Rfam family "Bacterial small subunit ribosomal RNA", at positions 524 to 776 of the family's 1533-position model. The record is from RNAcentral.